UCAAAUGGGAUGGAUAAACGAUUGAGAUGUGUUGAAAUAUAUUUGAUCAAUACCUUUAACACAUGCUUUCCCACCCGAUGCAAAGUUCCACGCAGCACAUUAAGAGGUAAGUAAAUACAUGUCAAAUUUCAAGGUCGCAAAUUCUCUACCUAUGUUAUGCUGUGUAAAGUCUCUUGCCUAGGACUGGCUGCUUCCGAUCUGUUUAUCAAAGAUUGUAUAGUUGUAUGUAUGUUGUGUUGCCUCCGGUGCCUCUGUUUUGUUCCAUUGGUCUAUAUCUCUGUUUUGGUACCAGUACCAUGCUGUUUUGAUUACUGUAGCCUUGUAGUAUAGUUUGAAAUCCGGUAGUAUGAUGCCCCCCGCUGUGUUCUUUUUGCUUAGAAUUGACUUGGCUAUGCGGGCUCUCUUUUGGUUCCAUAUGAAGUUCAUGGUGGUUUUUUCCAGUUCUGUGAAGAAAGUCAAUGGUAGCUUGAUGGGGAUAGCGUUGAUUCUGUAAAUUACUUUGGGCAGUAUAGCCUUUUUCACGAUAUUAAUUCUUCCUAACCAUGAACAUGGACUGUUUCUCCAUCUGAUUGUGUCCUCUCUGAUUUCAUUGAGCAGUGGUUUGUAGUUCUCCUUGAAGAGGUCUCUUACGUUCCUUGUGAGUUGUAUUCCAAGGUAUUUUAUUCUUUUUGUAGCAAUUGCGAAUGGCAGUUCGCUCUUGAUUUGGCUUUCUUUAAGUCUGUUAUUGGUGUAGACGAAUGCUUGUGAUUUUUGCACAUUGAUUUUAUAUCCUGAGACUUUGCUGAAGUUGCUUAUCAGUUUCAGGAGUUUUUGGGCUGAGGCAAUGGGGUCUUCUAGGUAUACUAUCAUGUCAUCUGCAAAUAGAGACAAUUUGGCUUCCACCUUUCCUAUUUGAAUACCCUUUAUUUCUUUUUCUUGCCUGAUUGCUCUGGCUAGAACUUCCAGUACUAUAUUGAAUAGGAGUGGUGAAAGAGGGCAUCCUUGUCUAGUGCCAGAUUUCAAAGGGAAUGCUUCCAGUUUUUGCCCAUUCAGUAUGAUAUUGGCUGUUGGUUUGUCAUAAAUAGCUUUCAUUACUUUGAUAUACGUUCCAUCGAUACCGAGUUUAUUGAGGGUUUUUAGCAUAAAGGGCUGUUGAAUUUUGUCAAAUGCCUUCUCUGCGUCAAUUGAGAUAAUCAUGUGGUUUUUGUUUUUGGUUCUGUUUAUGUGGUGAAUUACAUUUAUAGACUUGCGUAUGUUGAACCAGCCUUGCAUCCCUGGGAUGAAUCCUACUUGAUCAUGAUGAAUAAGUUUUUUGAUUUGCUGUUGCAAUCGGCUUGCCAAUAUUUUAUUGAAGAUUUUUGCAUCUAUGUUCAUCAUGGAUAUUGGCCUGAAGUUUUCUUUUCUCGUUGGGUCUCUGCCGGGUUUUGGUAUCAGAAUGAUGUUGGUCUCAUAAAAUGAUUUGGGAAGGAUUCCCUCUUUUUGGAUUGUUUGAAAUAGUUUUAGAAGAAAUGGUGCCAGCUCUUCCUUGUGUGUCUGGUAGAAUUCGGCUGUGAACCUGUCGGACAUGGGCUUUUUUUGUGUGGUAGGCUCUUAAUUGCUGCCUCAACUUCAGACCUUUUUAUUGGUCUAUUCAUAGUUUCAGCUUCCUCCUGGUUUAGGCUUGGGAGGACACAGGAAUCCAGGAAUUUGUCCAUUUCUUCCAGGUUUACUAGUUUAUGCGCAUAUAGUUGUUUGUAAUAUUCUCUGAUGAUGGUUUGAAUUUCUGUGGAAUCUGUGGUGAUUUCCCCUUUAUCAUUUUUUAUUGCAUCUAUUUGGUUGUUCUCUCUUUUCUUUUUAAUCAGUCUGGCUAGUGGUCUGUCUAUUUUGUUGAUCUUUUCAAAAAACCAGCUCUUGGAUUUAUUGAUUUUUUGAAGGGUUUUUCGUGUCUCAAUCUCCUUCAGCUCAGCUCUGAUCUUAGUUAUUUCUUGUCUUCUGCUGGGUUUUGAGUUUUUUUGAUCUUGCUGCUCUAGCUCUUUCAAUUUUGACGAUAGGGUGUCAAUUUUGGAUUUCUCCAUUCUCCUCAUAUGGGCACUUAUUGCUAUAUACUUUCCUCUAGAGACUGCUUUAAAUGUGUCCCAGAGGUUCUGGCACGUUGUGUCUUCGUUCUCAUUGGUUUCGAAGAACUUCUUUAUUUCUGCCUUCAUUUCGUUGUUUACCCAGUCAACAUUCAAGAGCCAGUUGUUCAGUUUCCAUGAAGCUGUGUGGUUCUGGGUCUGUUUCUGAAUUCUGAGUUCUAACUUGAUUGCACUAUGGUCUGAGAGGCUGUUUGUUAUGAUUUCAGUUGUUUUGCAUUUGUUGAGCAGUGC
Molecule: long non-coding RNA, 2324 nt
Organism: Callithrix jacchus (white-tufted-ear marmoset)
Lineage: Eukaryota; Metazoa; Chordata; Mammalia; Primates; Cebidae
Source: Ensembl